AUCUGGGCGGCGGAAUUCAGGAUGGCUGGUGGGCCUUGUGCACAUCCGGCCGUUUGAUAUUUCCGUCGCCGUUGCAGACGUCGCGACCUGUUUGUUGUCGGCCCCUGCUCGGAGGAGUCGCGAUCGAGUUUGUUGUGUGCGCGUUUCGGCGUGUCACACGGCGAAGACGCGAAUCUCUGGCCGACGACGGACAGUAAGCAACGGUGUCCGGUAACGUGUCUCGCACUCGGUACCGGUGCCGGUCAGCGAUGAUUUCUUCGGGCCUCUUUCCGACCCGUCUUGAAACACGGACCAAGGAGUCUAACAUGCGCGCGAGUCGCGGGGUUUCGAGCGUACCACGGUACGUUCGUUAUCUCCGAAACCCGUACGUUGAAGGCGUAAUGAAAGUGAACAGGGAAGACGGUGUUCCGAGUCCACGUACCGUGAUCGAGUAUCGCGGCCGGACACCCGCACUCCCGGGGCGUCUUAAUGGCUCGUCGCGGAUGCGGACUGUCGCCUCUCGGGGUGGCUGUCGGUCUGCGUCGGACCGA
This 530-nucleotide ribosomal RNA is filed under the name Ischnaspis longirostris. Its description in RNAcentral is "partial 28S ribosomal RNA". The record is from RNAcentral. Lineage: Eukaryota; Metazoa; Arthropoda; Insecta; Hemiptera; Diaspididae.